RNAcentral lists this ribosomal RNA (775 nucleotides) under Salmonella enterica subsp. enterica serovar Typhimurium. RNAcentral's name for it is "partial 23S ribosomal RNA". It matches the Rfam family "Bacterial large subunit ribosomal RNA", at positions 392 to 1165 of the family's 2925-position model. Lineage: Bacteria; Pseudomonadati; Pseudomonadota; Gammaproteobacteria; Enterobacterales; Enterobacteriaceae. The record is from RNAcentral.
AUGUGCUGUGAGCUCGAUGAGUAGGGCGGGACACGUGGUAUCCUGUCUGAAUAUGGGGGGACCAUCCUCCAAGGCUAAAUACUCCUGACUGACCGAUAGUGAACCAGUACCGUGAGGGAAAGGCGAAAAGAACCCCGGCGAGGGGAGUGAAAAAGAACCUGAAACCGUGUACGUACAAGCAGUGGGAGCACAGGUUUACCUGUGUGACUGCGUACCUUUUGUAUAAUGGGUCAGCGACUUAUAUUCUGUAGCAAGGUUAACCGUAUAGGGGAGCCGUAGGGAAACCGAGUCUUAACCGGGCGUUAAGUUGCAGGGUAUAGACCCGAAACCCGGUGAUCUAGCCAUGGGCAGGUUGAAGGUUGGGUAACACUAACUGGAGGACCGAACCGACUAAUGUUGAAAAAUUAGCGGAUGACCUGUGGCUGGGGGUGAAAGGCCAAUCAAACCGGGAGAUAGCUGGUUCUCCCCGAAAGCUAUUUAGGUAGCGCCUCGUGAAUUCAUCUCCGGGGGUAGAGCACUGUUUCGGCUAGGGGGCCAUCCCGGCUUACCAACCCGAUGCAAACUGCGAAUACCGGAGAAUGUUAUCACGGGAGACACACGGCGGGUGCUAACGUCCGUCGUGAAGAGGGAAACAACCCAGACCGCCAGCUAAGGUCCCAAAGUCAUGGUUAAGUGGGAAACGAUGUGGGAAGGCCCAGACAGCCAGGAUGUUGGCUUAGAAGCAGCCAUCAUUUAAAGAAAGCGUAAUAGCUCACUGGUCGAGUCGGCCUGCGCG